UCCUGCACUGGACCGGGGGUGCGGGCUGCCUGCGCCCUGGUGCUGGAUGGUGCGGGGAGAGCAGCUGCUGAGGGCAUUUCCCGUUUGGAGGGCCCACCCCUGUCUCGUCCACAACCUGAGCGUCCUCGCCUG
Molecule: non-coding RNA, 132 nt
Organism: Myotis brandtii (Brandt's bat)
Lineage: Eukaryota; Metazoa; Chordata; Mammalia; Chiroptera; Vespertilionidae
Source: Rfam